RNA transcript from Cebus imitator (Panamanian white-faced capuchin), 473 nucleotides. It is a transcript of the gene named 60S ribosomal protein L23a-like, with no coding region annotated. The record is from RefSeq and is a predicted model, not a curated record. The transcript has a single exon. Lineage: Eukaryota; Metazoa; Chordata; Mammalia; Primates; Cebidae.
CACAAGAUGGCGCCGAAAGCGAAGAAGGAAGCUCCUGCCCCUCCUAAAGCCGAAGCCAAAGCGAAGGCUUUAAAGGCCAACAAGGCAGUGUUGAAAGGUGUCCACAGCCACAAAAAAAAGAAGAUCCGCACGUCACCCACCUUCCGGCGGCCCAAGACACUGCGACUCCAGAGGCAGCCCAAAUAUCCUCGGAAGAGCGCCCCCAGGAGAAACAAACUGGACCACUAUGCUAUCAUCAAGUUUCCGCUGACCACUGAGUCUGCCAUGAAAAAGAUAGAAGACAACAACACACUUGUGUUCAUUGUGGAUGUUAAAGCCAACAAGCACCAGAUCAAACAGGCUGUGAAGAAGCUCUAUGACAUUGAUGUGGCCAAGGUCCCCUGAUUCGGCCUGAUGGAGAGAAGAAGGCAUAUGUUCGACUGGCUCCUGAUUACGAUGCUUUGGAUGUUGCCAACAAAAUUGGGAUCAUCUAA